This 500-nucleotide ribosomal RNA is filed under the name uncultured bacterium. Its description in RNAcentral is "partial 16S ribosomal RNA". It matches the Rfam family "Bacterial small subunit ribosomal RNA", at positions 29 to 523 of the family's 1533-position model. The record is from RNAcentral.
AUUGAACGCUGGCGGCAUGCCUUACACAUGCAAGUCGAACGGCAGCACGGGAGCAAUCCUGGUGGCGAGUGGCGAACGGGUGAGUAAAGUAUCGGAACGUGCCCAGUCGUGGGGGAUAACGUAGCGAAAGUUACGCUAAUACCGCAUACGAUCUAUGGAUGAAAGCGGGGGAUCGCAAGACCUCGCGCGAUUGGAGCGGCCGAUAUCAGAUUAGGUAGUUGGUGGGGUAAAGGCUCACCAAGCCGACGAUCUGUAGCUGGUCUGAGAGGACGACCAGCCACACUGGGACUGAGACACGGCCCAGACUCCGACGGGAGGCAGCAGUGGGGAAGUUUGGACAAUGGGCGAAAGCCUGGUCCAGCCAUGCCGCGUGCAGGAUGAAGGCCUUCGGGUUGUAAACUGCUUUUGUACGGGACGAAAAGGUUUGGCCUAAUAAGCUGAGCUCAUGACGGUACCGUAAGAAUAAGCACCGGCUAACUACGUGCCAGCCGCCGCAGUAA